AUACGGAGGGUGCAAGCGUUACUCGGAAUCACUGGGCGUAAAGCGCGCACAGGCGGCUAUUUAAGUUGGAUGUGAAAGCCUACGGCUCAACCGUAGAACUGCAUCCAAAACUAUUUAGCUAGAGUGUGGGAGAGGAAGAUGGAAUUAGUUGUGUAGGGGUAAAAUCCGUAGAGAUAACUAGGAAUACCAAAAGCGAAGGCAAUCUUCUGGAACACUACUGACGCUGAGGCGCGAAAGCGUGGGGAGCAAACGGGAUUAGAAACCCUUGUAGUCC
RNAcentral lists this ribosomal RNA (274 nucleotides) under uncultured bacterium. RNAcentral describes it as "partial 16S ribosomal RNA". It matches the Rfam family "Bacterial small subunit ribosomal RNA", at positions 523 to 796 of the family's 1533-position model. The record is from RNAcentral.